This 686-nucleotide ribosomal RNA is filed under the name Thaxterogaster eumarginatus. Its description in RNAcentral is "eukaryotic LSU rRNA". The stretch from base 298 to 451 matches the Rfam family "5.8S ribosomal RNA". Lineage: Eukaryota; Fungi; Basidiomycota; Agaricomycetes; Agaricales; Cortinariaceae. The record is from RNAcentral.
GAGGAAGUAAAAGUCGUAACAAGGUUUCCGUAGGUGAACCUGCGGAAGGAUCAUUAUUGAAAAUAAACCUGAUGAGUUGCUGCUGGCUCUCUAGGGAGUAUUGUGCACACUUGUCAUCUUUAUAUCUCCACCUGUGCACCUUUUGUAGACCUGGAUAUCUCUCUGAGUGCUUAGCACUUCAGGUUUGAGGAUUGACUUUAUUGUUCUCUCUUUAUAUUUCCAGGCCUAUGUUUCUUCAUAUACACAUUGUAUGUUAUAGAAUGUAGUAAUUAGGCCUUUGUGCCUAUAAACCUAUACAACUUUCAGCAACGGAUCUCUUGGCUCUCGCAUCGAUGAAGAACGCAGCGAAAUGCGUUAAGUAAUGUGAAUUGCAGAAUUCAGUGAAUCAUCGAAUCUUUGAACGCACCUUGCGCUCCUUGGUAUUCCGAGGAGCAUGCCUGUUUGAGUGUCAUUAAUAUAUCAACCUCUUCAACUUUUGUUGAGUGUUGGAUGUGGGGGUUUUUUGCUGGCCUCUCUGAGUUCAGCUCCCCUGAAAUACAUUAGCGGAACAAUUUGUUCAUUGGCGUGAUAAUCUAUCUAUGCUAUUGACAUGAAGCAGUUCAGCUUAUAACAGUCCAUUGAAUUGGACAAAUUUUUAUCUAUUAAUGUGACCUCAAAUCAGGUAGGACUACCCGCUGAACUUAAGC